Molecule: non-coding RNA, 159 nt
Filed under: Amaricoccus macauensis
Lineage: Bacteria; Pseudomonadati; Pseudomonadota; Alphaproteobacteria; Rhodobacterales; Paracoccaceae
Description: 6S / SsrS RNA
Rfam family: 6S / SsrS RNA
About the family: E. coli 6S RNA was the first non coding RNA to be sequenced, but its function was unknown until recently.
Source: Rfam by way of RNAcentral
CGGGUUCUAGCCUUCUCGUGAGGGGCCCAAAUCCUAGUGGCCUUAAUUAUUCUUGAGGGAGCCGGCUCUGUGACUGGCCCUGGCCUAUCGCACCUGGCGCCCACCUGGUUAUCCAGGCUCUCAAGGAUUGCACGCGCCCACGGUCGCGCCGGGCCCGCU